This 218-nucleotide unclassified non-coding RNA is filed under the name plant metagenome. Its description in RNAcentral is "partial contains 5.8S ribosomal RNA, internal transcribed spacer 2, and large subunit ribosomal RNA". The record is from RNAcentral.
CUGACAACGAGCAGUAUGCUGGCGGGCUAUAGUGAUUGGCCGUAUCUUGAGCAAGUGUUCAAGCUGGAACGGACGGUGUGGCGCGAGAAGGAGCGGGUGCUUCACGAGAUUCGGUAUGGGGUGACGAGCAUGCCAAAGAAGGUGGCAGGGGCAGAGCGGGUGUUGGAGGUGGCACGGGGAGAAUGGGGCAUCGAGAAUGGGCUGCAUUACCGACGAGA